RNAcentral lists this ribosomal RNA (1383 nucleotides) under Pulchrana siberu (Siberut Island frog). RNAcentral describes it as "partial 16S ribosomal RNA". It matches the Rfam family "Bacterial large subunit ribosomal RNA", at positions 202 to 2565 of the family's 2925-position model. The record is from RNAcentral. Lineage: Eukaryota; Metazoa; Chordata; Amphibia; Anura; Ranidae.
CCUAAAAUCUAGCUUUAAAUAAAUUACCCAAAUGACACCCUCAACCUGUCAUCCUGCAAAUAAAACAUUUUAUCAUCUUAGUACAGGGGAUCGAAAAAAUUCUUAAAUGCUUUAGAUAAAGUACCGUAAGGGAAUGAUGAAAUAAUAGUGAAAUAGUACUAAAGCCCCAACAUAGCAGAGAUAUACCCUCGUACCUUUUGCAUCAUGGUCUAGCCAGUCUAAUCAAGCAAAAAGAAACUUUAAGUUUGACAUCCCGAAACUAAGCGAGCUACCUCAAAACAGCCCCAAGGGGCCAACCCGUCUCUGUUGCAAAAGGGUGGGAAGAUUUUUAGGUAGUGGUGACAUGCCUAUCGAGCUUAGAGAUAGCUGGUUGCUCAGAAAAAGAGCCUUAGCUCUACCUUAAGUUUAUCUAUUAUAUUGAACAAACCCCUAAACUUAAGAGCCAUUCAAAUAAGGCACAGCUUAUUUGAAACAGGACACAACCUCUAACACCGGGUAAAUAAGGAAAUCUCUAAACAAAGUAGACUUAGAAGCAGCCACCUUUAAAAUAGCGUUACAGCUUAAUUAUAUAUACCCUUAAUUCCUAAACCCCUUAGUAACCCUUCCCCACUACUGAGCCAUUUUAUAUUUUUAUAAAACUAAUUAUGCUAGAACUAGUAACAAGAAACUGUUCUUCUCCAAAAUGCAAGCAUAAACCAAAACGGACAAUACAUUGGCAGUUAACGUACAUGUAUAAAGCAUAAUAACCUAACUAGAAAACCUUAUGCCUCCAAACGUCAACCUUACACUAGAGCAUUACUGGAAAGAUUAAAAGGGAGAGAAGGAACUCGGCAAACCCUAGCCCCGCCUGUUUACCAAAAACAUCGCCUCUUGUUAACCAUAAGAGGUCUAGCCUGCCCAGUGAUAAAAUUUAACGGCCGCGGUACCCUGACCGUGCGAAGGUAGCAUAAUCACUUGUUCUUUAAAUGAGGACUAGUAUCAACGGCAUCACGAGGGCUACACUGUCUCCUCUCCCCAAUCAGUGAAACUGAUCUCCCCGUGAAGAAGCGGGGAUUCCACUAUUAGACGAGAAGACCCCAUGGAGCUUCAAAUCCAACAUUUAACCCACACUUAUAUACCCCCUAAGUUAUAAAGACCUAAUUGUUGACUUUCGGUUGGGGGGACCGCGGAGUAUAACUUAACCUCCACGACUAAUGGGCCUCGCCCUUAUCUACGAACUACACUUCUAAGAAUCAAUAAACUGAUGUUUAAUGACCCGAGAAUUCGACUAACGAACCAAGUUACCCUGGGGAUAACAGCGCAAUCCACUUCAAGAGUCCCUAUCGACAAGUGGGUUUACGACCUCGAUGUUGGAUCAGGAUAUCCCAGUGGUGCAGCAGCUAC